This 250-nucleotide ribosomal RNA is filed under the name uncultured bacterium. RNAcentral's name for it is "partial 16S ribosomal RNA". It matches the Rfam family "Bacterial small subunit ribosomal RNA", at positions 524 to 773 of the family's 1533-position model. The record is from RNAcentral.
UACAGAGGUCCCAAGCGUUGUUCGGAUUCACUGGGCGUAAAGGGUGCGCAGGUGGCCGCGCAAGUUCGAUGUGAAAGCCCCGGGCUUAACCCGGGAAUGGCAUUGAAAACUGCGUGGCUGGAGGAUCGGAGGGGGGACUGGAAUUCUUGGUGUAGCAGUGAAAUGCGUAGAUAUCAAGAGGAACACCAGUGGCGAAGGCGAGUCCCUGGACGAUACCUGACACUGAGGCACGAAAGCCAAGGGAGCAAAC